This is an RNA transcript of Pelodiscus sinensis (Chinese soft-shelled turtle), 3023 nucleotides long. It is a transcript of the gene named protein-glucosylgalactosylhydroxylysine glucosidase, with no coding region annotated. The record is from RefSeq and is a predicted model, not a curated record. Lineage: Eukaryota; Metazoa; Chordata; Testudines; Trionychidae.
UUUCGAUCUCUAGACAGACAGCCCUUAUGGUUAAGGCCUCAGUGCUUCAUGUCCCUUGCGAGCAGUAAGCAGGGAACUCAGUUUCCCGGAGAGGAGUGCGUCAGGAGAUCCCCCUAGAGAAAUACCUGUUUCAAAGUUCUUUUUUUAAAAAAAGUUAUUUCCUUCCUCUCCUCUCCGCCAGUGACUUCCUUCUACCCCUCCCCUCUCGCCGCACACACAGAGGAGAUCCUACAGCUGCAGCUGCAGCCUCAAGCUACCAGAGUCCAGCCGAGCCCCGAAGGAAAAGGCAAGAUACACUGUCUAACUUUUCCUUUCUCCCGGAAACUUUGUGGAACGUGUUUCUGUCUGGCUGAUCCCUGGGGCCUGCCAGGCACGAGCACAGAGCAGGCAUUUACAAGUGGAAAACUGCCAGGAGGCAGCAAUGGCCGAUGGGGGUGGGACAGAUCCCGCCGUGUUCACCUCCAGCACUCUACCCUCAGAUCCUCGCCUCUUCGCGACAGUGACCAAUGCCUACCUGGGCACCCGAGUUUACAGAGACAUCCUCCAUGUAAAUGGGGUAUAUAAUGGAGCAGUGGGGGACACUCACCGUGCCGACAUCCCCAGCCCUGUCAAUGUCAGAAUCAGUGUGCCUGACGAGGAUGGACUGACAGAAACCUUCACCUUGAACACCAGGACAGGGACCUUCAGUCAUGUGCUUCAGUCAGCCGGUUACACAGCCACCUACAGGCUCUUCGCCCACCAGUCCCUGGUACACCUACUGGCCUUCAGCAUCACUAUCCAACGACUGGCUCCCAAAGGCCAGCCAGUGACUGUGCAGCUCCAGACGCAAUUCACACCACAAAGCCAGGACCUGGUCUUGCACAGAGGGCAGGACUUCCAGGGAGCUCACUAUAUCUAUGGGGAAACGUUGAUCCCAGAGGUGGAGGGGGCUCCACAGCCCUCUGUGCACAUGAUCUGGACUCCCGUUCCGCAGGCGGUGACCCUGCCCGGGGAAGAGCCGGAGAGAACCUGGGAGUUCCUGACCGCAGUGGAUGGCAGCGAAGAGGAAGUGAAGAGGCACUUUCAUGAAGGAAAGUCCCUGAUCGCUGCUGGCUCCUUAUACGCCUCUCACACCCGGGCCUGGGCAGCGCUCUGGAAAGGCUGCCAUGUAGAUGUAGAUGGGCCUUUCCCUUUGAGGCAGGCCUUGUAUGGCUGUCUCUAUUACCUGCUGAGCGCAAUUCCUCCCCUGGAUUCUCCUGACUUCCUCUUCCAUGGAAUCAGCCCCGGUGGGUUAUCCAACGGCACGCAGGGAGAAGACUAUUGGGGGCACGUCUUCUGGGACCAGGACACGUGGAUAUACCCAAACAUCCUGUUGUUUUACCCGGAAGCAGCCCGCGCCAUCCUGCAGUACCGUAUUCGAGCACUAGGUGGCGCGCUGAAGAACGCCCAGGAGCAGGGAUAUAAGGGUGCCAAGUUCCCUUGGGAGAGCGCGGCCACUGGCCGGGAAGUCUGCCCUGAAAAGAUUUAUGGAGCCCAAGAAGUUCACAUCAAUGGGGACGUGUUGCUGGCCUUUGAGCAGUAUUACCACACCACACAGGACCGCAAACUGUUCCAGGAGGAAGGCGCCUGGGACGUGGUUGGUACCGUGGCUCAGUACUGGUGCAGCAGGGUGGUCUGGAGUCAGGAGGAGCAGCGCUACCACAUCAAAGGUGUCAUGCCCCCAGAUGAAUAUCACAACAGCGUCGAUAACUCUGUUUACACCAAUGCCGUGGCCCAGCGGAGCUUGAGGUUUGCAGCCGACCUGGCCCACGAUUUCCAGAUCCCGGUGCCGGAGGAGUGGCAGGAGGUGGCCAAGAAAAUCAAAGUGCCAUUUGAUGCAGCCAGGAACUACCACCCAGAGUACGAUGGAUACAGCCCAGGUAAGCCCGUGAAACAAGCAGAUGUCGUCUUGCUCGGAUACCCAGUGAUGUAUCCCAUGAGCACUGAAGUCCGAAAGAACGACUUGGAGACAUAUGAGCCCGUCACUGCGCGGGAUGGGCCAGCCAUGACCUGGAGCAUGUUUGCCAUUGGCUGGAUGGAACUGAAGGAGAUCCAAAGGGCACAGAGUCAACUGAACAAGUGUUUCAACAACAUCACCGAGCCAUUCAAGUGUAGAUCUGGGCGGAGAACUCGGACGGGUCAGGAGCUGUGAAUUUCCUGACAGGCAUGGGGGGAUUCCUGCAGGCCAUCCUCUUUGGCUACACAGGGUUCAGGAUCACCAAGGGCAGCCUGAACUUCGACCCGAUAUGCCCUGCCAACAUUCGAAAGCUCAAGAUCACGGGGGUCUCGUACCUGGGGAGCAAGCUGAACUUCACGCUGACCGAAGAGACCGUUAGGGUCAAGGUGACAAAGUCCUCAGGUGACCCCCGUCUGUCCCCACUGGAGGCCGUGCUGGGAGCAUCGGGGCAGCACAUCCCUUUGCCGGAAGGGCAGAGCAUCUCCUUCGCCACAACUGCUGGCCGGAUCCAGAGGGCAUCUGCUGAGCCACAUUAAGCCCCAGAUACUGAAUUUGUCAGAGAAAGCAAGUAUUUAAAGUCAUCAAAGCUAUUCAAACGUGGCAAGGAUCCAGAGUCCUACGGCAGUGUUCUAGCUAAGGGAUUCCCUCCAUGAGCAGAGUGACUUUUGCCCUGUGCACCAAUAUGAGGUCAUGUGCGUGGGUGCGGAAGCAUGCCAUCACAGCACUCACCACUUACAAAAUUCCUGGAUAUAUAUUUUAAAAAAAUCUUCAGAGGGGGAGCUGAGUUAGUCUCUAACAGGAAAAAUUUAAACAAAUAGUCUUUAAGGUGCUACUAAGCUAACAAAACAUGUAGAUGGUAUCAUGAGCUUUCAUGGGCAUAACCCACUUCUGUCAUCUGAAGAAGUGGGUUGUGCCCACGAAAGGUCAUGAUGCCAUCUACAUGUUUUGUUAGUCUUUAAGGUGCUACUAGACUAUUCGCUUUUUAUUUUUUUUAAUGUUAUGAAAGAAUACUGAAGCAAGAGUUCAUUAAUAAAGGUACAUGACUUUA